AUGGAGAUGGUCUCUGGAGGAAGGAGGAGAAGCCGCCUUGCGACUCGGCGCACAAUAAAGCUACUGGUGAACACCCGCACCGGGCGCGUGGUGUGCGCGGAGGCCGGGAAGGAUGUGGUGGACUUCCUCUUCUCCCUCCUCGCCAUCCCCAUCGGCACCGUCGCCAGGCUGCUCGCCGCGGAUCCCAUUGGCAGCGUCGGCAACUUGUCCCGGAGCCUCGACGAGCUCGACGGCACCUACAUCGUCGACGAACAUGCAAGGGACGCCCUGCUCCCGCCCAGGGCCGGCGGCGGCCUUCUCCUCCUGCUCACCGCUGGCGCGUCGUCCUUCUCUCGCGGGGUCGUGCAGGGCGUCGUGACCUACACGAUCACGGACGACCUCAAGGUCACCCCCAUGUCUCGCAUCUCUGAGAUCCCCAUGAUCAACGCCCACCGUAUCAGGGACCCCCGCGACCUCCAGGAGAGGAUUGUCCACUUUGGCCGCACCGAGAGUCUGAAGAUACUGAAGGCGUCACUGCAGUCCCGGACGGUCCUCACCGACGUCUUCCUUAGGAGGCCCUAA
Molecule: ribosomal RNA, 561 nt
Filed under: Triticum aestivum (bread wheat)
Lineage: Eukaryota; Viridiplantae; Streptophyta; Magnoliopsida; Poales; Poaceae
Description: partial small subunit ribosomal RNA
Source: RNAcentral